This 793-nucleotide ribosomal RNA is filed under the name uncultured eukaryote. RNAcentral describes it as "bacterial SSU rRNA". It matches the Rfam family "Eukaryotic small subunit ribosomal RNA", at positions 63 to 875 of the family's 1831-position model. The record is from RNAcentral.
GUAUAAGUGUUAUACAGCGAAACUGCGAAUGGCUCAUUAAAACAGUUAUAAUUUAUUUGAUAAUUGAAUUUACAUGGAUAACCGUGGCAAUUCUAGAGCUAAUACAUGCUGGUAGGCUCGACUAUUGCGGAAGGGCGUUAUUUAUUAGAUAAAAAGCCAGUAACAUCUGGUCUAUUGUGGUGACUCAUAAUAACUGAUCGAAUCACAAGGCCUUUGGCCGCAAAAAGUAAUUCAAGUUUCUGCCCCAUCAGCUCUCGAUGGUAGUGUAUUGGACUACCAUGGUGUUUAAGGGUAACGAAGGAUUAGGAUUCGAUUCCGUAGAGGGAGCCUGAGAAACGUCUAACACAUUUAAGGAAGGCAGCAGGCGUGCAAAUUACCCAAUCCUGACUCAGGGAGGCAGUGACAAGAAAUAACGGACCGAGGCCUUCGGGCUUCGGGAUUGGAAUGAGACGAAUUUACACCCCUUAGCGAAGAUCGAUUGGAGGGCAAGUCUGAUGCCAGCAGCCGCGGUAAUUCCAGCUCCAAUAGCGUAUAUUAAAGUUGUUGCAGUUAAUAAGCUCGUAGUUUGAUUUCUGGGAGGGCGCCGAUGUCCACUUAACGUGUGCGCAGCAGCGCCCUCUCAUCUUUCUGUUAGCGUCUCUUGGCAUUCAUUUGCUGGUGGCGGGCUCAGAUAUUUUACCUUGAGAAAAUUUGAGUGUUUCAGGCAGGCUAAGCCGAAAAACAUUAGCAUGGAAUAAUGGAAUAGGACUACGGUCUCUUUGUUGGUUUGAGCGACUGCAGUAACGAUUAAUAG